This is a non-coding RNA of Caerostris darwini, 114 nucleotides long. NCBI's taxonomy places the organism in Eukaryota, Metazoa, Arthropoda, Arachnida, Araneae, Araneidae. The record is from the annotation of a GenBank genome assembly.
UAACGGCCGUACCAUGCGGAAUAUACCGGUUCUCGUUGGAUCACUGAAGUCAAGCAUCAUUGGGCGUGGUCAGUACUUGGGUGGGGGGGCCACCUGGGAACACCGCGUGCCGUU